This is a long non-coding RNA of Corvus hawaiiensis (hawaiian crow), 2537 nucleotides long. RefSeq lists it as uncharacterized. The transcript has 3 exons. Lineage: Eukaryota; Metazoa; Chordata; Aves; Passeriformes; Corvidae. The record is from RefSeq and is a predicted model, not a curated record.
CUCUGCCGGCCGCGCUCUCCGCGCAAAGCCCCCGCCGCUCCCGGGGGCUGAGCGAGCCCGGGCUCCCUUGAACCCGCCGCCCGCAGGGCACCAUCAAUGCAUAGGGAACUACCGUGCCACGGGCACAGGGAUGCUGUCCUGCAUCUCACGUCGGCCUCGCCUCUGCUCGCACACAGCUGUGCGCAGACAAACGGAAAGACAGACAGACAGACAUCCGAGCCGGGCACAGCCCCACGCCCGCAUCUCGCCGGGAGAGCAGCGACAACCUUCGGAUGCCACCGACAGCACAGGAGGGUGUUUUGUUCCGUGACAUUUUUAUUCACGUUGCAGCACCCCGAUCUCCUCCUGUGCACCCGCGGGCACUCCCUGUGCUGAUCCCCGGGCUUGCCCGAGUGAGAUUUCUCUGCUAGAAUCUCUAAAACUUAUCUCUAAAUCUCAUGAAAUCCUAGGGAUGCGGGCGGGAGAAGCUGUCGCGCAGAGCACGGUCCGUUCCGGGGCUGGCGAGCUGGAGGCGCCGCCGGACUCCGGGCACUUGCGCAGCUACUACUGAAGUUCGUCCGUCCCCCUCCAAGCACCCACGAAGAAAACCACUUUCACCAACGUGAAUAGGUCAGAUAAACACCGUCACUUUUCCUUUUUUCUUUAUAAUUUUAUUAAUUUUUAUAAUUAUUAUUCCUCUGCGCUUUUCUAAAGACUCCGGAACAGCAUGUAAACAGGCCGGAGCAAAUGCGGCAUUUGCGGCGGAGAGCUGUCAGUCAUUAAAAGCCAACAAACCUUUGCAAAGCAGGAAUGCGGCAAUAGGGAUCCAUUGUGAGCUGACAAUGGGCUCCAGAGCCUCCAGGCACCAAAAGCAGCCCGCCUUACUUUUAAGUCCAUUGUCAGCAAAGUCCACGACAAAGCUUUUCCCCCCCGGCUAGACAAAAUAUUCGCCGUGGUACGCUCGUAAAGAAACACAAGUCUUCUGUCUAACUUGCCGCCUUAAAGCUACAGUAGACGCUCUCCGGGGCUGCCAGAGCCCCGCUGAGCUGGCCGCCGGCCGCUGCCUGCCCGCAUCCCUGUUUCCCUGCAUACUUGCUUGCCUCCCGGCUUCCCUGCCGCCUUCCCUGCCCGCCGGCCCCUCGCAGCCGCUCGGGGAGGGGCGCCGGGACGGUCCCGGUGUCACUUUCCCGGGGGAGUUUGAGCUCUGUCGGUGCAACCCCGGGAGCCGGAGUCCCCCGCCCGAAGACUCGUGUUACAUCCCAGCAACCCGAGCCCGCCGGUGAUGCCGGGAGAGCCGCGGACAAACAAGCGGGGAGUAAUGAAUGCGGUGGACGGCCAUGUAUCAAUGACUGAAUUUCUGCGAGAACGUGCCCACUGGUGAAUGCCUCCGCCUGUGCCAGCAGCUCCCUGGCUCCUCGGUGUCCCCUGGUCCCGCCACCCUCCCUCUGUGCCAAGCACCAUCCAGACUGACUCCCUCAUCCACAACAAUGAGACUUGGAGACUGAUGCCAGCAGCCAGUAAUUCUCAUGCAGGCCUUCAGCACAUGGAAUGAAACCACUUUCCUUGGAGUUGUGAGAGUCUUGUGUUCACUGCUCUGAUCUGCAGCUGCCUGCUUCCAGAGAAAGGCAUGCAAUUCCAACAUGCUGUAACAAGGUGAGGAAUGGGAGCUCUCCACAUGAGGCAUGACCGAAAGACCCAUAUUUGAAGAGGAAAUGGGAGAGAAAGCUCUGAUGUUAUACAGAGGCAACUAUGAUCAAAGUGUAAGAGGCUGAUGUAAGUUGACUACAAGUUAAGAGGGAAAGUGUGAGUCCUGGAGCCUCCCACUUGCAUGGUGUCUGGAUGUCCAAGGAUGGGUGCCCUCCCAAGGAGAUGCCCAAAGGGUUCCCUCCUCUGUAACUACAGUGAACAGAUCUUGCCCUGGGUUGAAAGAGAGAUACUUCUCAGAAAAAAGUAAAAGAAAGAUGUUUGGCCUUGGCAAGGAUGAUGACAUGAAGUGUAGCAAGAACAGAGAGAAGCCAAGAGUUGCUCAAUGCCCAUCCAGACCACCAAACAUUUCCUGCCAACACGUGUUAUUCCUAGAGGAAGGAGUAUUUGGUCGGCACAAAUUAUCAUGAAUGAACUUCAGCAUUAGCUGAUACACCUUCCACUUCUGGCAAGCACCUUCCUUUGUAUUAAGAAAGCACUGGCAAACACUGAGCUGGCACCCAUUAUUCACCUUUUCCUUCUGCUAUGGUCAUAAAUAUGUUCCACCCAUCAGUCACAGUUCCACUCAGCGUUCCUACAACCCUCACCUAUCCAUAUGUCACCCCACUGGCACUCUGUUCUCUGUUCAUGUACCGAAACAAAUCCUCUCUGGUCUAAAUCAGGAAAUGAGAUCAAGGGCAGAUUUCCACUCUUCCUUUAAAAGAGCAGACAAACAUGUAGAUAGAAGAAAUUUCUCUUUUUACGCCCCCAUAUUUUAUUAAGAAGCUCUUACCUAUACAAAAUCAGAAACAAUUUUCAUAGCAAGGAAAAUAAAGCAACUAUUAUGAAGAAAUGGCUGGUAUCAGCAGGUUACA